This 253-nucleotide ribosomal RNA is filed under the name uncultured bacterium. RNAcentral's name for it is "partial 16S ribosomal RNA". It matches the Rfam family "Bacterial small subunit ribosomal RNA", at positions 524 to 776 of the family's 1533-position model. The record is from RNAcentral.
CACGUAGGGGGCGAGCGUUGUCCGGAAUCAUUGGGCGUAAAGAGCGUGUAGGCGGCUUGGUAAGUCCGCUGUGAAAGUCCAGGGCUCAACCCCGGAAUGCCGGUGGAAACUGUCAAGCUUGAGUCCGGAAGAGGCGAGUGGAAUUCCUGGUGUAGCGGUGAAAUGCGCAGAUAUCAGGAGGAACACCAAUGGCGAAGGCAGCUCGCUGGGACGGUACUGACGCUGAGACGCGAAAGCGUGGGGAGCAAACAGG